UUAAAUUGAAGAGUUUGAUCAUGGCUCAGAUUGAACGCUGGCGGCAGGCCUAACACAUGCAAGUCGAACGGUAACAGGAAACAGCUUGCUGUUUCGCUGACGAGUGGCGGACGGGUGAGUAAUGUCUG
RNAcentral lists this ribosomal RNA (128 nucleotides) under Escherichia coli. Its description in RNAcentral is "partial 16S ribosomal RNA". It matches the Rfam family "Bacterial small subunit ribosomal RNA", at positions 1 to 119 of the family's 1533-position model. Lineage: Bacteria; Pseudomonadati; Pseudomonadota; Gammaproteobacteria; Enterobacterales; Enterobacteriaceae. RNAcentral also lists the same sequence under 2 other names. The record is from RNAcentral.